Malaya genurostris is the source of this 1335-nucleotide long non-coding RNA. RefSeq lists it as uncharacterized. The transcript has 3 exons. NCBI's taxonomy places the organism in Eukaryota, Metazoa, Arthropoda, Insecta, Diptera, Culicidae. The record is from RefSeq and is a predicted model, not a curated record.
UUUCGUUCAAUGUAUCACAAGGAUUAGAUCGUAUUAAACGCAAACAGGGAAACAAGAUUUGUUCACUGUCAAAGCAAAAACAAUUUCUUUCAAAUGUAACAAUUAUUGAAUCAUCAUGGAACCAAGCUUCGUCGUCUGACAUUCAUCAUAUACCAUUAGUAGAUCCAAAAAUGUACUCUUCCCAGAAUCUAGGGCAUAGUAACGAGCAUCCACCUCCAGUCGUAACUGUUCAUGGAACACAAGUGCAAAUUCCCAAACGAAAAAAAGAAAAAAUGAAGUGGUCAGUACAAGCCAGCGGAACAUCGUCGCAAGAUGAGUCUAAUUUAAUGGAUAUAGAGACCGUUAAGUGCGAUAAUCUUCGAGCAUUAAAAUCUCCUGUCUCUGGACCACGACUAAAAGUUGACGCUGAUACGGAUCCAUCCCCAAUAGCAUGUAACGAAAAUUUGUCAACUAUCGCAGGGUCAGGUGACCGAAAUCGGUACAAACCAGGCAUAAUUAAAUGCACUUUGUCAAAAUCACAAAGAAAACCAGAAUCAAUAAUCGACGAAGAUCUGCUACGUGAUGGUGAACAGUCUGAAUUGUCUGAGAAUGAUGAAUAUGAUAUGGUAACCAAACUUACUUUGAGAGUAAAAAAAUUGAAAGCGUUGUCGCUCAGAUUGAAAAAACAAUGUUCAGAAUCAAAUCGCAGAUGUCUACGACUAACUGACUUUCUCAACAUUUCGGGUAAUACAAGACAAAGAUUUACAUAUAUUGAAGGAAUGCUGACGGAAGAUCAACUUGAAGCUUUUUCAAGAAAUUCAAAAUCGGACUACGUAUUUGUCAAAUUAUUAAUGUUUGAAAUAUGACAAGAAGGUUUCAAAGGCAGAACAAUAUAUGGGCGAAUGUCAAACAAUCCACGUGGAAGGAAACCUAUCUUGGGUAACAGUAAAUCUCAUUCGAUUACAUCCUAUUCAACGUCGGUUCCUCUAGAACCAGAUAAAGUGCAAUACAUCUAUGAUCGCUUGUAUGAACACCGUAUGAUGAAAGGCGAUUCUCCACUAGAAGCCAAUGAAGCGGCAAGAAAUUUCAAGGAUUUAAUAAGGCGUGUUUUGGCGUAUUACAAGCAUAAGAACACACAUUCGCUUGAGCCUUAGGUUGAUAUUCAUAUACAAGUAGCAUGUUCUGACCACUAAAGAUGAAUAGAGGUAGAAGCAGUGUAAAAGAAAUUAUAACGACUGAAGCACCGAAGGAUAUAAAAUGGGAACAAAGAAGAACUUAACAAAUAAAAUAAUUAUCCAAAUAGUUAGAGUAAAAACACUGAUGAAAUAAAGAGAAUACAUAUCCCAAAAUAAUAAA